AUUGAACGCUGGCGGCAGGCCUAACACAUGCAAGUCGAGCGGAUGACGGGAGCUUGCUCCUUGAUUCAGCGGCGGACGGGUGCGUAAUGCCUAGGAAUCUGCCUGGUAGUGGGGGACAACGUUUCGAAAGGAACGCUAAUACCGCAUACGUCCUACGGGAGACAGCAGGGGACAUUCGGGCCUUGCGCUACCAGAUGAUCCUCGGUCGGAUUAGCUAGUUGGAGGGGUAAUGGCUCACCAAGGCGACGAUCCGUAACUGGUCUGAGAGGAUGAUCAGUCACACUGGAACUGAGACACGGGCCAGACUCCUACGGGAGGCAGCAGUGGGGAAUAUUGGACAAUGGGCGAAAGCCUGAUCCAGCCAUGCCGCGUGUGUGAAGAAGGUCUUCGGAUUGUAAAGCACUUUAAGUUGGGAGGAAGGGCAGUAAGUUAAUACCUUGCUGUUUUGACGUUACCGACAGAAUAAGCACCGGCUAACUCUGUGCCAGCCGCCGCCGUAA
Molecule: ribosomal RNA, 500 nt
Filed under: uncultured bacterium
Lineage: Bacteria
Description: partial 16S ribosomal RNA
Rfam family: Bacterial small subunit ribosomal RNA
Source: RNAcentral